UUGCUAGUAAUCGCGGAUCAGCAUGCCGCGGUGAAUACGUUCCCGGGCCUUGUACACACCGCCCGUCACACCAUGGGAGCCGGUAAUACCCGAAGUCAGUAGUCUAACCGCAAGGGGGACGCGGCCGAAGGUGGGUUCGAUAAUUGGGGUGAAGUCGUAACAAGGUAUC
Molecule: ribosomal RNA, 169 nt
Filed under: uncultured bacterium
Lineage: Bacteria
Description: partial 16S ribosomal RNA
Rfam family: Bacterial small subunit ribosomal RNA
Source: RNAcentral